This 468-nucleotide ribosomal RNA is filed under the name uncultured bacterium. RNAcentral describes it as "partial 16S ribosomal RNA". It matches the Rfam family "Bacterial small subunit ribosomal RNA", at positions 28 to 507 of the family's 1533-position model. The record is from RNAcentral.
GACGAACGCUGGCGGCGUGCUUAACACAUGCAAGUCGAACGGAAAGGCCCUGCUUUUGUGGUGUGCUCGAGUGGCGAACGGGUGAGUAACACGUGAGUAACCUGCUCUUCACUUUGGUAUAACUUCAGGUAACUGGGGCUACUCCCGUAUAGGAUCUCCCGCUGCAUUGUGGGGGUUGGAAAUUUUCGGCGGGUGGGGUUGGAUUCGCGGCUUAUCAGCUUGUUGGUGGGGUAGUGGCUUACCAAGGCUUUGACGGGUAGCCGGCCUGAGAGGGUGACCGGCCACAUUGGGACUGAGAGACGGCCCAGACGCCUACGGGAGGCAGAAGUGGGGAAUAUUGCACAAUGGGCGGAAGCCUGAUGAAGCAACGCCGCGUGCGGGAUGACGGCCUUCGGGUUAUAAACAGCUUUCGCCUGUGACGAAGCGUGAGUGACGGUAAUGGGUAAAGAAGCACCGGCUAAUUACGUG